CCUACGGGUGGCAGCAGUGAGGAAUAUUGGUCAAUGGUCGGGAGACUGAACCAGCCAAGCCGCGUGAGGGAUGAAGGUACAGAGUAUCGUAAACCUCUUUUGUCAGGGAACAAAGGCGGGGACGUGUCCCCGGAUGAGUGUACCUGAAGAAAAAGCAUCGGCUAACUCCGUGCCAGCAGCCGCGGUAAUACGGAGGAUGCGAGCGUUAUACGGAUUUAUUGGGUUUAAAGGGUGCGCAGGCGGUUGGUUAAGUCAGCGGUAAAAGCCCGGGGCUAAACCACGGCCCGCCGUUGAAACUGGCAGUCUCGAGUUGGAGAGAAGUAUGCGGAAUGCGCGGUGUAGCGGUGAAAUGCAUAGAUAUCGCGAAGAACUCCGAUUGCGAAGGCAGCAUGCCGGCUCCACACUGACGCUGAGGCACGAAAGCGUGGGUAUCGAACAGGAUUAGAUACCCGGGUAGUC
RNAcentral lists this ribosomal RNA (459 nucleotides) under uncultured bacterium. RNAcentral describes it as "partial 16S ribosomal RNA". It matches the Rfam family "Bacterial small subunit ribosomal RNA", at positions 338 to 795 of the family's 1533-position model. The record is from RNAcentral.